Molecule: long non-coding RNA, 1490 nt
Organism: Athalia rosae (coleseed sawfly)
Lineage: Eukaryota; Metazoa; Arthropoda; Insecta; Hymenoptera; Athaliidae
Exons: 3
Source: RefSeq, a predicted model, not a curated record
UAGGAUCCUUUUGAAGAAGAGAAGGACACGUCGAAGGGAAACCAGCCGCCGACGUUCGACCCCCUGCAUGAAACUUCGUGUACGGCGUCCUUUAAAAAAAGUAACAAAAGCCGGCUGACCUUUGGAACGCGCCGAGAAAAGGUAGCCGAGCUUUUCAACCGUCCCGCGCCCGAUCGGACGCCGAUCUUUCCAACCGUACUCGCCGCGGCGGCAUCGGAAUCCCCGCGCGCUACGCCCAUAUAAUGUAAUAUCGCGUUUGCGAGGACCAGACGGCAUUAGACAUCCUAAAAACAAGCCACACCCAACGGGUAUAGGUACAGCUCGAGAAUUCCGUACAUGGACUCGAGUCCUCGAGAGUCCUCGUUCCUCGGGGUUCGCUCGUGUAAGCGUACAGGAGAAUCUGGCGGGCCCGAAAAGCCUGGGUUUUUGAAACAAAAAUUUUCUCCAACGUCCGCCGCAAGGCCAAACGGAGGCAGAGCAAAGCGGUCGAAGGAGGUGCGUGCAGCUGCGAGACUACGGAGGGCAGAGAGGGAACUCGGGAGGAGGAACCGGCGAGGCGAGAAGACGCGGUGUGGUUAGUGGGGAGCUAAGGGGGCGAGAGAAGAGGGAAGAGAGAAGAGGGUGUCGGGUGCCGUUCCGCUGCGGGGUGGGGGACGGCGCCGGGGCGCGCGUCGCGACGUCGGUCUCAGUGCGCGCGACGUUCCUAUCUCGCACCAUACCUACUUACCAUGAUCGGCCUUGUUUCAUGAAGGUGCACGGUGCAGGUUCGUCGUUGGCGGUGCAGCGGAAACUACACGCGGUGUGAUCGCAUCUUGGUUUAAUUCGUUACACAUUUUCUGAAGACUAUUUUUCGUUCUUCUCCAAAGUAGAACUCGGAGACGAUCGGUAUACCGCCAAUUUUCGCCGUUACCGUCUCUGCUCCGCGCGCGGAGAGCGCAAGAAAUCGCAGCUCGUCGAUCGCCGAUCCGCACGCUACGCUGACGUCGGACCAGACAGUGAGACCGACUACUGCUCGAUGUUUGCCUGAGUGACAGCCUGCACGUUUUGCGGAUGAAAGUCGGUUGUACGAAUUUUUGAUUCAUUUUUUGUUCGACGAACCGAUAGCCGCUGACCACGACCGUGCGGAUUAAUGCGUCGAGAUGUUUCGAUAGAUGGUGUAAAUAUUGCGUACGUUUAGGAGGUUUGAUUGGAAAAUCAAAGUCGAAUGCACGACGAGCACUGUACGCAUUGAAUCUGCACGACAGGGAUCGAUAGUGAUGAGUGUGAUUUAAAAGAAACGCAACUGUGCCGCAGAUCGUUCGAAAAUUUUCGCUGCUCCGCUUCAGCCCCGCACCCUUCGAGAAUAAAAGGAUUCCUCAUGCGGCGACGAGGAAUUCACCCUCUUGGCUCCCCACCGCAUCUACGGUCAUUCAGAGCAGCUGAAGAACGGGAAGUCAUGGACUAGCCGCUGCCGUCACAGGUUCACCAACCCCUGCAACGAGGGAAUAGGG